AUCAGACAGCAAUGGUGAACAGAAAGAGGAACAAUUCGCAUUUCAAGUGACCCUUCCUCAAAACGGUCUGUUCUGAAGGAACUUUUCUGCAGAAAUCACUGGAUUGAAAGGUGCUGCAAGACCUGCUGAGCAUUUCCAACAACAUGUGAACGUUUAAAGGGAGUUGUGUCAGGAGGAGGGUGUCGCUGGCCCGGCAGCAUUUACUGCCCAUCCCUAAUUGCCCAUAGGGCAGGUAAGAGUCGACCACAUUGCUGUGGGUCUGAGGUCACAAUGUAGGCCAGACCAGGCUACUUCGAUGUCACCUUCAGGAGCGUGAAGCAAUGCCAGCAGCUCCUGAAGGUCUUCAAGGAAAAGGAGGGGAAGCCGCUGUUCUCCAUCUUGUCAGCGGUCCCGCUGUGUGUGCUUCCUGCACAGAGGAGUCGGGUUGUCAUGAUCCACACGUACAACCCCUAUGUUCAAGCAACUGAUGUCCUGACGUUCCUGAGGAGAUAUGUGUAGGUUGAGGGAGAAAGCACUGACUGGCACAUUCCAAGGUCCAGGACUACAUGUUGAGGGACGCGCUGAAGCUUGGGGCAGCUGCCGCCAAAGCAUGGUGGGGAAAGACCACCAUGUAGCAUCUGCCUGCCUAAGAAGAACAGGGGGCCCACGUAGUCAUUUGGGCUCUGCUGGCACCUCAGCUCAAAAUAUAAUCAUACCGACCUGUAAAUAGGAAUGAUUACUCUGUUUCGAUAUGAAAAGAAAUGGAAUGGUUACCUAUGUACUACGGCAU
Molecule: long non-coding RNA, 769 nt
Organism: Hemiscyllium ocellatum (epaulette shark)
Lineage: Eukaryota; Metazoa; Chordata; Chondrichthyes; Orectolobiformes; Hemiscylliidae
Exons: 4
Source: RefSeq, a predicted model, not a curated record